AGUGAACGCUGGCGGUAGGCCUAACACAUGCAAGUCGAACGGCAGCACAGUAAGAGCUUGCUCUUACGGGUGGCGAGUGGCGGACGGGUGAGGAAUACAUCGGAAUCUACUUUUUCGUGGGGGAUAACGUAGGGAAACUUACGCUAAUACCGCAUACGACCUACGGGUGAAAGCAGGUGAUCUUCGUACCUUGCGCGAUUGAAUGAGCCGAUGUCGGAUUAGCUAGUUGGCGGGGUAAAGGCCCACCAAGUCGACGAUCCGUAGCUGGUCUGAGAGGAUGAUCAGCCACACUGGAACUGAGACACGGUUCAGACUCCUACGGGAGGCAGCAGUGGGGAAUAUUGGACAAUGGGCGCAAGCCUGAUCCAGCCAUACCGCGUGGGUGAAGAAGGCCUUCGGGUUGUAAAGCCCUUUUGUUGGGAAAGAAAAGCAGCAGGUUAAUACCCCGCUGUUCUGACGGUACCCAAAGAAUAAGCACCGGCUAACUUCGUG
RNAcentral lists this ribosomal RNA (492 nucleotides) under uncultured bacterium. RNAcentral describes it as "partial 16S ribosomal RNA". It matches the Rfam family "Bacterial small subunit ribosomal RNA", at positions 29 to 507 of the family's 1533-position model. The record is from RNAcentral.